This 422-nucleotide ribosomal RNA is filed under the name uncultured bacterium. Its description in RNAcentral is "bacterial SSU rRNA". It matches the Rfam family "Bacterial small subunit ribosomal RNA", at positions 355 to 774 of the family's 1533-position model. The record is from RNAcentral.
UGAGGAAUAUUGGUCAAUGGGGGCAACCCUGAACCAGCCAAGUCGCGUGAAGGAUGAAGGUCUUAUGGAUUGUAAACUUCUUUUAUACGGGAAUAAAGUGGGGGACGUGUCCCCCUUUGCAUGUACCGUAUGAAUAAGGAUCGGCUAACUCCGUGCCAGCAGCCGCGGUAAUACGGAGGAUCCGAGCGUUAUCCGGAUUUAUUGGGUUUAAAGGGUGCGCAGGCGGGAUGUUAAGUCGGCGGUGAAAUUUUGCAGCUCAACUGUAAAAGUGCCUUCGAUACUGGCCUCCUUGAGUGUGGAUGAAGUAGGCGGAAUUUGUGGUGUAGCGGUGAAAUGCUUAGAUAUCACGAGGAACUCCGAUUGCGCAGGCAGCUUACUAAGCCACAACUGACGCUCAUGCACGAAGGCGUGGGGAUCAAACA